RNAcentral lists this ribosomal RNA (2257 nucleotides) under Escherichia coli O104:H4 str. C227-11. RNAcentral's name for it is "bacterial LSU rRNA". It matches the Rfam family "Bacterial large subunit ribosomal RNA", at positions 693 to 2925 of the family's 2925-position model. Lineage: Bacteria; Pseudomonadati; Pseudomonadota; Gammaproteobacteria; Enterobacterales; Enterobacteriaceae. The record is from RNAcentral.
CGUUAAGUUGCAGGGUAUAGACCCGAAACCGGUGAUCUAGCCAUGGGCAGGUUGAAGGUUGGGUAACACUAACUGGAGGACCGAACCGACUAAUGUUGAAAAAUUAGCGGAUGACUUGUGGCUGGGGUGAAAGGCCAAUCAAACCGGGAGAUAGCUGGUUCUCCCCGAAAGCUAUUUAGGUAGCGCCUCGUGAAUUCAUCUCCGGGGGGUAGAGCACUGUUUCGGCAAGGGGGGUCAUCCCGACUUACCAACCCGAUGGCAAACUGCGAAUACCGGAGAAUGUUAUCACGGGAGACACACGGCGGGGUGCUAACGUCCGUCGUGAAGAGGGAAACAACCCCAGACCGCCAGCUAAGGUCCCAAAGUCAUGGUUAAGUGGGAAACGAUGUGGGAAGGCCCAGACAGCCAGGAUGUUGGCUUAGAAGCAGCCAUCAUUUAAAGAAAGCGUAAUAGCUCACUGGUCGAGUUCGGCCUGCGCGGAAGAUGUAACGGGGCUAAACCAUGCACCGAAGCUGCGGCAGCGACGCUUAUGCGUUGUUGGGUAGGGGAGCGUUCUGUAAGCCUGUGAAGGUGUACUGUGAGGUAUGCUGGAGGUAUCAGAAGUGCGAAUGCUGACAUAAGUAACGAUAAAGCGGGUGAAAAGCCCGCUCGCCGGAAGACCAAGGGUUCCUGUCCAACGUUAAUCGGGGCAGGGUGAGUCGACCCCUAAGGCGAGGCCGAAAGGCGUAGUCGAUGGGAAACAGGUUAAUAUUCCUGUACUUGGUGUUACUGCGAAGGGGGACGGAGAAGGCUAUGUUGGCCGGGCGACGGUUGUCCCGGUUUAAGCGUGUAGGCUGGUUUUCCAGGCAAAUCCGGAAAAUCAAGGCUGAGGCGUGAUGACGAGGCACUACGGUGCUGAAGCAACAAAUGCCCUGCUUCCAGGAAAAGCCUCUAAGCAUCAGGUAACAUCAAAUCGUACCCCAAACCGACACAGGUGGUCAGGUAGAGAAUACCAAGGCGCUUGAGAGAACUCGGGUGAAGGAACUAGGCAAAAUGGUGCCGUAACUUCGGGAGAAGGCACGCUGAUAUGUAGGUGAAGCGACUUGCUCGUGGAGCUGAAAUCAGUCGAAGAUACCAGCUGGCUGCAACUGUUUAUUAAAAACACAGCACUGUGCAAACACGAAAGUGGACGUAUACGGUGUGACGCCUGCCCGGUGCCGGAAGGUUAAUUGAUGGGGUCAGCGCAAGCGAAGCUCUUGAUCGAAGCCCGGUAAACGGCGGCCGUAACUAUAACGGUCCUAAGGUAGCGAAAUUCCUUGUCGGGUAAGUUCCGACCUGCACGAAUGGCGUAAUGAUGGCCAGGCUGUCUCCACCCGAGACUCAGUGAAAUUGAACUCGCUGUGAAGAUGCAGUGUACCCGCGGCAAGACGGAAAGACCCCGUGAACCUUUACUAUAGCUUGACACUGAACAUUGAGCCUUGAUGUGUAGGAUAGGUGGGAGGCUUUGAAGUGUGGACGCCAGUCUGCAUGGAGCCGACCUUGAAAUACCACCCUUUAAUGUUUGAUGUUCUAACGUGGACCCGUAAUCCGGGUUGCGGACAGUGUCUGGUGGGUAGUUUGACUGGGGCGGUCUCCUCCUAAAGAGUAACGGAGGAGCACGAAGGUUGGCUAAUCCUGGUCGGACAUCAGGAGGUUAGUGCAAUGGCAUAAGCCAGCUUGACUGCGAGCGUGACGGCGCGAGCAGGUGCGAAAGCAGGUCAUAGUGAUCCGGUGGUUCUGAAUGGAAGGGCCAUCGCUCAACGGAUAAAAGGUACUCCGGGGAUAACAGGCUGAUACCGCCCAAGAGUUCAUAUCGACGGCGGUGUUUGGCACCUCGAUGUCGGCUCAUCACAUCCUGGGGCUGAAGUAGGUCCCAAGGGUAUGGCUGUUCGCCAUUUAAAGUGGUACGCGAGCUGGGUUUAGAACGUCGUGAGACAGUUCGGUCCCUAUCUGCCGUGGGCGCUGGAGAACUGAGGGGGGCUGCUCCUAGUACGAGAGGACCGGAGUGGACGCAUCACUGGUGUUCGGGUUGUCAUGCCAAUGGCACUGCCCGGUAGCUAAAUGCGGAAGAGAUAAGUGCUGAAAGCAUCUAAGCACGAAACUUGCCCCGAGAUGAGUUCUCCCUGACUCCUUGAGAGUCCUGAAGGAACGUUGAAGACGACGACGUUGAUAGGCCGGGUGUGUAAGCGCAGCGAUGCGUUGAGCUAACCGGUACUAAUGAACCGUGAGGCUUAACCUU